CAAGAUUCCCAUUCUUGCGACCCGGGU
RNAcentral lists this non-coding RNA (27 nucleotides) under Gallus gallus (chicken). The record is from RNAcentral. Lineage: Eukaryota; Metazoa; Chordata; Aves; Galliformes; Phasianidae. RNAcentral also lists the same sequence under 2 other names.